RNAcentral lists this non-coding RNA (117 nucleotides) under Brevibacillus laterosporus. Its description in RNAcentral is "TPP sequence". It matches the Rfam family "TPP riboswitch aptamer (THI element)". From Rfam's summary of the family: Vitamin B(1) in its active form thiamin pyrophosphate (TPP) is an essential coenzyme that is synthesised by coupling of pyrimidine and thiazole moieties in bacteria. The previously detected thiamin-regulatory element, thi box was extended, resulting in a new, highly conserved RNA secondary structure, the THI element, which is widely distributed in eubacteria and also occurs in some archaea. Lineage: Bacteria; Bacillati; Bacillota; Bacilli; Caryophanales; Paenibacillaceae. RNAcentral also lists the same sequence under 1 other name. The record is from RNAcentral.
ACAUAUGGAUACGGGAGCUUGGAUGAAGCCAGGCUGAGAGGGUGGAGAACUCUGCUACCGACCGUGAAACCUGAUCUGGAUAAUGCCAGCGUAGGAAACGAUCCCAUACGAAUGACU